UUAAAAAGAGUGAGCAAGGGUUAACAAGAGUGAACAAGGGUUAACUAGAGUGAGCAAGGGUUACUAAGAGUAAACAAGUGUUAACUAGAGUGAGCAAGGGUUAACUAAUCUAAUCUAACUAGAGUGAGCAAGGGUUAACUAGAGUAAGCAAAGGGUUA
Solea senegalensis (Senegalese sole) is the source of this 158-nucleotide long non-coding RNA. RefSeq lists it as uncharacterized. NCBI's taxonomy places the organism in Eukaryota, Metazoa, Chordata, Actinopteri, Pleuronectiformes, Soleidae. The record is from RefSeq and is a predicted model, not a curated record. The transcript has 2 exons.